AGCAGCCGCGGUAAUUCCAGCUCCAAUAGCGUAUAUUAAAGUUGUUGCAGUUAAAAAGCUCGUAGUUGAAUUUCGGGGUUAGUAGGUUGGUCAUGCCUCUGGUAUGUACUGGUCUCACUGAUUCCUCCUUCCUGAUGAACCUUAAUGCCAUUUAUUUGGUGUUUUGGGGAAUUUGGACUGUUACUUUGAAAAAUUAGAGUGUUUAAAGCAAGCUAACGCUUGAAUACAUUAGCAUGGAAUAAUGAAAUAGGACGUUCGAUCCUAUUUUGUUGGUUUCUAGGAUUGACGUAAUGAUUAAUAGGGAUAGUUGGGGGCAUUAGUAUUCAAUUGUCAGAGGUGAAAUUCUUGGAUUUAUUGAAGACUAACUACUGCGAAAGCAUUUGCCAAGGAUGUUUUCAUUAAUCAAGAACGAAAGUUAGGGGAUCGAAGACGAUCAGAUACCGUCGUAGUCUUAACCAUAAACUAUGCCGACUAGGGAUCGGAUGAUGUUAAUUUUUAAUGAC
Molecule: ribosomal RNA, 503 nt
Filed under: uncultured Glomus
Lineage: Eukaryota; Fungi; Glomeromycota; Glomeromycetes; Glomerales; Glomeraceae
Description: SSU rRNA
Rfam family: Eukaryotic small subunit ribosomal RNA
Source: RNAcentral